AACGCGAAGAACCUUACCUGGGCUCGAACGGCUUUGGAACAUCCUUGGAAAUAGAGCCUUCCCGCAAGGGACCUGUGUAGAGGUGCUGCAUGGCUGUCGUCAGCUCGUGCCGUGAGGUGUUGGGUUAAGUCCCGCAACGAGCGCAACCCUUACUCAUAGUUGCUACCCGCAAUGGAGAACUCUAUGAGGACUGCUCCGGAUAACGGAGAGGAAGGUGGGGAUGAGGUCAAGUCAGCAUGGCCUUUAUGUCCAGGGCUACACACGUGUUACAAUGCGCGCCACAAAGCGUUGCAAACCCGCGAGGGGGAGCUAAUCGCAAAAAAGCGCGCUCAGUUCGGAUUGCAGUCUGCAACUCGACUGCAUGAAGCCGGAAUCGCUAGUAAUGGCGCAUCAGAACGGCGCCGUGAAUACGUUCCCGGGCCUUGUACACACCGAGUAUA
RNAcentral lists this ribosomal RNA (440 nucleotides) under uncultured bacterium. RNAcentral's name for it is "bacterial SSU rRNA". It matches the Rfam family "Bacterial small subunit ribosomal RNA", at positions 958 to 1398 of the family's 1533-position model. The record is from RNAcentral.